ACACGGUUUCGGUCGUGGUUGCCAGGGUUGCGCUGUAACGGCCCCUCGGGUGAACCGUCACAUAGCACCGCCCGACUGUUGUACUCUUCGGGUUGUGAACAGACCACCUGUACACGUGAAGUCAUAUGCUGGUAUCGUGUGUCAUUUUGGAAGCUGCAUGUCUCUCAGAUCAUAAGUUUGUCACAUGUUCAAGAAGUCCACACGAGGGCCAGAUAAUCCAGCACACAGAACCAGUCUGAACCUCUCUCUCUCAAUCUCGCUCUUGCUCGCUGACUCGCUCAGUGGGAGAAUAAACACUUAAAAAUGA
Molecule: long non-coding RNA, 307 nt
Organism: Triplophysa dalaica
Lineage: Eukaryota; Metazoa; Chordata; Actinopteri; Cypriniformes; Nemacheilidae
Exons: 2
Source: RefSeq, a predicted model, not a curated record